UAAUUUAAAAAAAAAAAAAAAAAAAAAAAAAAAAAAAAAAAAAAAAUAUUGAAAUUAUGUUUGUUUUUUUAAAGGUCCAAAGCUCCAGCCUGACGGGGGCAAUGGUGCCUGGGCCUGCUGUGCACAUGCACUGGGCCUGCUGUGCCCACGCGCAUGCACCCAAGCUGGGGUGGGAGUCCUGGCACACUACCAUCCCACGGUGGGAUCAGAGUCUUGCAACCCUACCAGACUCGGAUCCCCCUACCAAAGGCACACAGCUCUUGUCUCCUUACCAGAGGCACGGGUAUGUUGGGGGCGCGGAUUGCUUGGUUCAUCCGCGGAGGGGUGCUUAAGUGUGGGGUGCCAGGGUUCGAGAGGUGGGCCUGGUCCUGGAGGUGGGCCUGGUCCUGGAGGUGUGUGAGUGAGUUUUGGUUGAGGCAAAAUUGGCUCAAGUUUACACAGGGCCCGGUGCCUGAAACCUGGGUACACUUGGCUGAAAGUUCAGAUCUGGCUGUGAAAUGUUAAGAAUCAGCGCAUGUGAUGCAGCACAGCCAAAUUAGACUGGAGCAUGCGGUCUAGAAAUGCCCAUGUGGAGGCACUCAAAGCUGGGAAAGGGGGUCCCAGCAGGUUUCCCUUAUUCUGUGGUCAUCCACAGCUGGCAGGGUUGACUCGGGCCGCGCUAGACCGCUUCGCUGGCUGCCAAA
Long non-coding RNA from Girardinichthys multiradiatus, 683 nucleotides. RefSeq lists it as uncharacterized. The transcript has 2 exons. The record is from RefSeq and is a predicted model, not a curated record. Lineage: Eukaryota; Metazoa; Chordata; Actinopteri; Cyprinodontiformes; Goodeidae.